Molecule: transfer RNA, 66 nt
Filed under: Marmota monax (woodchuck)
Lineage: Eukaryota; Metazoa; Chordata; Mammalia; Rodentia; Sciuridae
Description: tRNA.Ala
Source: RNAcentral
AGAUGUAGCUCAGUGGUAGAGCAAUUGCUUAGCAUGCACAAGGACGGGGUUUGAUCCCCAGCACUG